Molecule: ribosomal RNA, 466 nt
Filed under: uncultured bacterium
Lineage: Bacteria
Description: bacterial SSU rRNA
Rfam family: Bacterial small subunit ribosomal RNA
Source: RNAcentral
UAGGGAAUAUUGGGCAAUGGAGGGAACUCUGACCCAGCCAUGCCGCGUGCAGGAUGAAGGCGUUAUGCGUUGUAAACUGCUUUUAUAUAGGAAGAAAUAGUCCUUGCGAGGAAAGUUGACGGUACUAUAUGAAUAAGCACCGGCUAACUCCGUGCCAGCAGCCGCGGUAAUACGGAGGGUGCAAGCGUUGUCCGGAUUUAUUGGGUUUAAAGGGUGCGUAGGCGGUUUAUUAAGUCAGUGGUGAAAGACGGUCGCUCAACGAUUGCAGUGCCAUUGAUACUGGUAGACUUGAGUAUGAUUGAGGUAGCUGGAAUGGAUAGUGUAGCGGUGAAAUGCAUAGAUAUUAUCCAGAACACCAAUUGCGUAGGCAAGUUACUAAGUCAUAACUGACGCUGAGGCACGAAAGUGUAGGGUAUCAAACAGGAUUAGAUACCCAGUAGUCCCUGAGCGGGCUGGCAAGGCGCAU